AUGCAGCUCUAUGGUUACAGCAUCACUGUUAAAAUUCUCAUUUCUUGCAUCCAACUUCUUUAUGGAAGAAAAGAGAAUUGGGAUAAAUUUGGCUUGCUAGAGUUAUUAAUGUGGGCAUGUAUGUUAGCUAGAAAUAAGAAACCUCCACUGGUCAUUCAGAGGAUCCAGCAUCACAUCACGUCGCUAGAGCGUUUGCUGGCCGGUCUAGUUGCAUAUGCGUCCAAGCAUCCCUGUCAAAGGUCUAACAUCAAAUGUGUUCUCUGUAUCUUCACCAUCUAUAACCAUCUGAUAGCUAUCAAACCGUGUUCUCUUGCACGGCGAUGUCGCUUGGUCGACAAUCUGGAUGGGCCGUGCACGUGGACGAACUGGCACCACUUUCCUCACCUAUUCGGUAUUCAAUUUGAAUCCAGCUGUUCUGUUAGGUCGUCAGAGUUUGGCCACUCGAUGAAACAGUCGCAAUGGAUUAUGGAUACUCAUACUAGUCCAAGCUUACCAUCCGUCGGUCGUUGGGUAGAACUGCAAUACCCACUGUUCCUUUUUUAUUCUACUGACAGCACCAAACUCGCUGGAUUACUUAUACUUAGUUAA
This 588-nucleotide ribosomal RNA is filed under the name Triticum aestivum (bread wheat). Its description in RNAcentral is "partial small subunit ribosomal RNA". Lineage: Eukaryota; Viridiplantae; Streptophyta; Magnoliopsida; Poales; Poaceae. The record is from RNAcentral.